GAUGAAGAACGCAGCGAAAUGCGAUAAGUAGUGUGAAUUGCAGAAUUCAGUGAAUCAUCGAAUCUUUGAACGCACAUUGCGCCCCUUGGUAUUCCAUGGGGCAUGCCUGUUCGAGCGUCAUUUGUACCUUCAAGCUUUGCUUGGUGUUGGGUGUUUGUCUCGCCUUUGCGUGUAGACUCGCCUUAAAAUAAUUGGCAGCCGGCGUAUUGAUUUCGGAGCGCAGUACAUCUCGCGCUUUGCACUCAUAACGACAGCGUCCAAAAGUACAUUUUACACUCUUGACCUCGGAUCAGGUAGGGAUAUCCGCUGAACUUAAGCAUAUCAAUAAGCGGAGGA
Molecule: unclassified non-coding RNA, 336 nt
Filed under: soil metagenome
Description: partial contains 5.8S ribosomal RNA, internal transcribed spacer 2, and large subunit ribosomal RNA
Rfam family: 5.8S ribosomal RNA (bases 1-120)
Source: RNAcentral